CCUACGGGUGGCAGCAGUGAGGAAUAUUGGUCAAUGGACGAGAGCCUGAACCAGCCAAGUAGCGUGAAGGAUGACUGCCCUAUGGGUUGUAAACUUCUUUUAUAAAGGAAUAAAACGAGGCACGUGUGCCUUUUUGCAUGUACUUUACGAACAAGGAUCGGCCAACCCCGUGCCAGCGGCGGCGGUAAUACGGAGGAUCCGAGCGUUAUCCGGAUUUGUUGGUGUUAACGGGGGCGUAGCGGGGCAUUUAAGCCGGCGGUCAAAUGUCGGGGCUCAACCCCGGCCUGCCGUCGGAACUGGGAGCCUUGAGUGGGCGAGAGGUAUGCGGAAUGCGAGGUGUAGCAGUGAAAUGCAUAGAUAUCACGAGGAACCCCGGUGGCGAAGGCAGCAUACCGGCGCCCAACUGACGCUGAGGCACGAAAGUGCGGGUAGCGAACAGGAUUAGAUACCCGAGUAGUC
RNAcentral lists this ribosomal RNA (459 nucleotides) under uncultured bacterium. Its description in RNAcentral is "partial 16S ribosomal RNA". It matches the Rfam family "Bacterial small subunit ribosomal RNA", at positions 338 to 795 of the family's 1533-position model. The record is from RNAcentral.